Molecule: ribosomal RNA, 468 nt
Filed under: uncultured bacterium
Lineage: Bacteria
Description: partial 16S ribosomal RNA
Rfam family: Bacterial small subunit ribosomal RNA
Source: RNAcentral
GACGAACGCUGGCGGCGUGCUUAACACAUGCAAGUCGAACGGAAAGGCCCUGCUUUUGUGGGGUGCUCGAGUGGCGAACGGGUGAGUAACACGUGAGUAACCUGCCCUUGACUUUGGGAUAACUUCAGGAAACUGGGGCUAAUACCGGAUAGGAGCUCCUGCUGCAUGGUGGGGGUUGGAAAGUUUCGGCGGUUGGGGAUGGACUCGCGGCUUAUCAGCUUGUUGGUGGGGUAGUGGCUUACCAAGGCUUUGACGGGUAGCCGGCCUGAGAGGGUGACCGGCCCCAUUGGGACUGAGAUACGGCCCAGACUCCUACGGGAGGCAGCAGUGGGGAAUAUUGCACAAUGGGCGGAAGCCUGAUGCAGCAACGCCGCGUGCGGUAUGACGGCCUUCGGGUUGUAUACCGCUUUCGCCUGUGACGAAGCGUGAGUGACGGUAAUGGGUAAAGAAGCACCGGCUAACUACGUG